GUUCUGCCCUGCAAGGUGGCUGCUUCCUUCCCGUCUCUCCUCACCCUGGCUUUUCUCUGUUUUCUCCUCUAGUGCAAUUCUCCAGCUUGGUAGAGCUCACUUCCUGGGUGCCUUGGCCUGUCAUCUGGACCAAGCCACUGCCUGGCUUUCCCCUCUGUGUACUCUGACGCAAGACCCCACACCUCGGCCAGGAGCCCAUCCUUCCUGUUACUAUGGACCCUCAGAGCCAGAAGCUAGAAGCAGGAAGCAGGAAACCACACAGCUAUCGGUGCUUCUUCAGGAGUCCUUCCUCCGGGCCCUGGUCUGUGAGACUAUGCAAUCCUGACCUUGGGGUUUGCUGUAGUUUGGAUCUGGACCGUCUCCCAAAGGUACGCGGAGUAAAGGCUUGGUUCCCAGUGAGGUCUCUGGACACGGGAAACCUUUAAGGAUGGACCACUGGGAUGUGCUGAGGGCACUGAGGGUGUGUCCUUGAGGCAGAUACUGGGGCCGCUGACUUUCUUCUUCCUUUCUUUCACUUCCUGGCUAUGGUCGAGCAGUUCUACUUCCACUCAUUUCUGCCAUCUGUGCUGCUUUGCCACAGGCCCCAAACAGAGCUGAUUGAUCAUGGACUGAAACCUCCAACACUGUGAGCCAGAAAGAAACCUUAAAUAAGUUGGUUUAUCUCAGGUAUCUGUUAGAGUGAUGGAAAAGUCACCGACAUAGGGUAAAACCAUACAGAAUACUUGAGGAGAUUAUUGAUUGGGAUGUUGAUUUCAGCUACUAGGAAGAUAACAAUGUGAGAAAAAAAUAUUGGAGAGACAUUGGAGAAAUAAUAAUGUUAAUAAUGAUUAUUUGAAUGCACUAUUGGAGAAACCUGUGACACACAUUAAAAAAGUGUCCAAAAUUUUCUUCGAUUACAGAAAUUAAUCCUGGCUUAGAUGUGUCCCAUUUUCCUGGUGUAUGACUCUGAUAGUAUGGUAUAAAAAUAACAAGACAGAAUUACACUGUAACAAACAUGAGUUUGGACACCUCACUGAGACAUAUCAUAUCAAAUACCAUAUUUGUGCAACUUCCUAUUCAUGGCUAGUUUUUCAUGGAAACAUUGAGUACAAAUUAAAGUGUCUUGAGUCACAUAGAAUUUUAAAUAUCCUUUAAAAUCUGUGUCUAUUGCACACAUUCUCAAAGGAGAGACAUUGCACAUGGGGUGAAAAUUUGAGGGGAUGCAUGUGUGCAAAACAUAAUAUUCUUUUUUAAAAUUUUUACAAAAAUUUAUGUAUGACAGCAGAAUGCAUUACAAUUUUUAUUACACAUAUAGAGUACAAUUUUUUAUAUCUCUGGUUGUAUACAAAGUAUAUUCACACCAAUUUGUGUCUUCAUACAUGUGCUUUGGAUAAUAAUGUCCAUCACAUUCCACUAUCAUUUCUAACCCCAUGCCCCUUCCCUUUCCCUCCAAUCCCUCUGCCGUAUGUAGAGUUCGUCUAUUCCUCCCAUGCUCCCUCUCCCUAUAACACUAUGAAUCAACCUCCUAUAUCAUAGAAAACAUUUGGCAUUUUUUGGGGGGAUUGGCUAACUUCACUUGGCAUUAUCUUCUCCAGCUCCAUCCAUUUACCUCCAAAUGCCAUGAUUUUAUUCUCUUUUAUUGCUGAGUAAUUCCAUUGUGUAUAUAUGCCACAUUUUUUUGUCCAUUCAUCUGCUGAAGGGCAUAUAGGUUGGUUCCACAGUUCAGCUAUUGUGAAUUGUGCUGCUAUAAACAUUGAUGUGGCUGUGUCCCUGUAGUAUGCUGUUUUUAAGUCUUUUGGAUAUAGACUGAGGAGAGAGAUAGCUGGGUCAAAUGUUGGUUCCAUUUCCAAUUUUCCAAGAAAUCUCCAUACUGUUUUCCAUAUUGGCUGCACCAAUUUGCAGUCCCACUAGCAGUGUAGGAGUGUAUCUUUCCCCCCACAUCCUCGUCAACACUUAUUGUUGUUUGUAUGCAUAAUAGUUGCCAUUCUGAUUGGAGUGAGAUAAAAUCUUAGAGUGGUUUUGAUUUGCAAUUCUCUAAUUGCUAGUGAUAAUGAACAUUUUUUUCAUAUAUUUGUUAAUUGACUGUAUAUCAUCUUCUGAGAAGUGUCUGUUCAGGUCCUUUUAUUGAUUGGGUUAUUUGUUUUUUUGGUGCUUAGCUUUUGAGUUCUUUAUAUACCCUAGAGAUUAGUGCUCUAUGUGAUGGGUGAGGGGUAAAGAUUUGUUCCCAAGAUGUAGGCUCUCUAUUCACAUCACAGAUUGUUUCUUUUGCUGAGAAGAAACUUUUUAGUUUGAGACCAUCCAAUUUAUUGAUUCUUGAUUUUAGUUCUUGUGCCACAGGACUCUUAUUAAGGAAGUUGGGGCCUAAUCUCACAUGAUGAAGAUUUGGGUCUAGUUUUUUUUUUUUUUCUAUUAGAUGCAGGGUCUCUGGUUUUAUUCCUAAGUCCUUGAUCCAUUUUGAGUUGAGUUCUGUACCAUUGGUUUACCACUCUGUUUUGGUGCCAAUACCAAGCUGUUUUUGUUACUAUGCUCUUUAGUUUAGUUUAAGAUCUGGUAUAGUGAUGCCACCUGCUUCACUCUUUCUGCUAAGGAUUGCUUUAGCUAUUCUGGGGAUCCACAUAGAAGAAGAACUCAAAUUUUCAUUAUUUGCUGAUGAUAUGAUUCUAUACCUAGAAGACCCUAAAAGUUCCACCAGAAAAGUUCUAAAACUAGUAAAUGAAUUCAGAAAGUAGCAAGAUAUAAAAUAAACACCCAUAAAUCAAAGGCAUUUCUGUAUAUCAGUGACAAAUCCUCAGGAAGGGAAACAAGGAAAGCUACCCCAUUUACAAUAGCCUCAAUAAAAUUAAAUACUUGGGAAUCAACUUAAUGCAAGAGGUGAAAGAUCUAUAUAAUGAAAAUUACAGAGCCCUAGAGAAAGAAAUCAAAGAAGACCUUAGAAGAUGGAAAGAUCUCCUUGUUCUUGGAUAGGCAGAAUUAAUAUUAUCAAAAUGACCCUUCUUCCAAAAGCACUAUACAGAUUUAAUGCAAUUCUGAUCAAAAUUCCAAUGACAUUCCUCAUAGAAAUAGAAAAAGCAAUCAUGAAAUUCAUCUGGAAAAAUAAGAGAGUCAAAAUAGGGGCAGUAUUCUUUUUUUUUCUGCAGUUUUGGUACUGGAGAUUUUAUCCAGGGGCACUUUACCACCAAGCUACAUCCUUUUAUUUUUAUUUUGAGACAGGGUCUCACCAAGUUGCUUAGGGCCUUGCUGAGUUGUUGAGGCUGGCCUCGUACUUGCAAUCCUAUUGUUCCAACUUCCCGAGUCACUGGGAGUACAGGUGCGUGCCACCCAGGUCUAGCAUAGAACUCUUUCAUGCAUCUCUUCAUGUAUAAAGCAGAGAUAUAGAAAUAAUGCAUAAAUCGAUAUCCCAUAUGUCUUUAACAUUAAAAUUUCAUUGACCAGGACCAAAUUGCCUAGAGAGGCUUGUUGCAGGGUCUGAGGGACAAUGAAACAUAUUGAGAAAUUCUGCUUUGGAUACUUUUGUAGUGCUCUUCUCUUUUGAAGUGUCACCUAGUCAUUAAUUUUCAAACAGGAACCCUGGGUUUGCCUAAAAUAAGACAGAUCUACAGAAAGUUUGCAGGACCACGGAGUGAUGUUCAUCCCCCUCAGCCAUGGUACAGAGGCUCCUGGGGGAGUCUCCCACUUGGGAAAAUCUGUGCCAAGCUAUUAUUAGAUAAGAAAGCUACUUGCUGUCCACAGCUCAUGGGAGCAGUCUCUAUUAUUUUAUGAUCAUAUCUCUUUAGUGGUAAUUUAGUGGUAAUUACAAUACUGUAUGUCACCAGAAUCAUGGUUCCAUUGAUUGUAAGAUGCACCAUCAAAAUUUGACACAAUACUAGGAUAUCAAAGAUGGCCAUAUGUACAAACAAUACAGCAGAAAAAGAUAAGUAUCUUAGGAUUAAUGAAAUACAGAAAUGGCUCAAACCGCUGACUUCACUAGGUACCUGGUUAUUUCAUCAAACACUGGCCACAGUGACGCCUGUUAGGUGUGGGGAUUCCUAUCAUCAACUCUAGCCUACACACGAGGGCCACUGGGAUACAGAGAGUUUAAGAAAUUCGCCCUCCAUGGUAGAAGAAGGAAGCAGUAGGAGGGCCCCGGGAACCUCAUCUCCCUGUGCAUUCUGGGGCACAGGCUGCACCUUCCGGUACCUGCUCUCCUUCCCUUUGCACUAUCUCCACUGCUACCUGAACAAGCAGAUUCAUCUCAUUUCUUUCAAUGCAUGGGUUUCUAGAAGGUGCACAAAGUGGAAUGCUGGUAUUUUUCAAAUUCAAAAGGGGGACGUUCUUUGUCUGUUAUGGAAGGAGUGCUUUGGACAGCACGGCAUUGGUUCAUGCUCCUGAUGUGGAGAGAGAAUUCAACUUAGAGCUGGGACAACCUGCGCUUGGUCCUGACCGCUCUGCCCUCCAGCUCUGGGAGGAGUCAAACUCACCUUCCCCAGUCUUGGUUUCCUCACUCGCGAGCCCCUUGGGGUUGGGCUGGGGUGGAGUAACCAGUCCUUUGCUGUCCCUUUGCAGUGUCUGCAUGUGUCUAUGACUGAGCCUGGGGGUGUGGCACCCACCUAGAGUGGCCUCACCCAGAGCCUGCAUUCUUUUUUUCUAAGAAGCUGGAGUUCAACAUCGAUCCGAGGUUGGAAGGAAGAUGAUGCUUCCCGAACCCAGGCUCUGAUGGUCCCACAGCUUCAGGAUGGCCCCAAUCCAUGAACUCUGGCUUCUCAGGGGCACUGGCAUUCUUGCCUGAGGGCCAGCGCAGGGGGGUGCUCUAGUUCCAGCCUCUUCCUGCCUUUGUGGAUUGCCUUUCUGUAAAGGAACUUGGCUAUCCAGAGUGUACUUAGUUCCUUCAGCUGAGCACUUCCUUAAUGGUGCAGAGAUCACCAAUUGUGUAUUUUAUAUUAGAAUGGAGGAUUUUGCCUCCCUCAAGAAUAUUAUAAUCUUAACAUAUUGUUGGAGGCUCCGUUGCUUUUGCAUAAACACAGACUGUGUUUUCCCUUCCCUAUGGUGGGCAGUUUUUCAAAUGGACUGUAACUGGAGCUUCUCCGUUUGCAUUGGGAGUCCUCUCAGGUUCACAUCCAGAAAACCUAAUAAAAAUGUGAGCCGCAAACAACUGGGUGGACGGAAUGAAAAGAAGUUGUUUGGUGAGAGUUUUGCAGCACAGUUUAUGAGACUGCCCCGGGCAGAAGGCCUUACGAUUGCUCAGACGGCAGUUUGCUUCUGCUCCCCUGACCAGCCAUUCCCGAGGGUUCAAUGACCAUUAAUCCCUCGUGCAAAAGUGUCCUAUGUGCGAGUCAGAACAUCCUUCCAUGUUGGCCUCACGGAGGUUAGGGUGCAUUUCUAUAAGAUCCCCUUUUAUCUGAACUUGGUGUGAUAUGAAACUAUUUAAAGUUACAAUAAACAGAACCCAAACAAAGCAAGCCAAAGAGUGGAUGUCUCCCUGAGUGCACACUGUAAAUCUGUCAUUUUGCCAACAUCUGGACAGAAAAAAAUUCCACAUUUGUUAACUAAAAUAUGUGCGAGAAGUCAGGGGGAAUUUUUCCUUCCUAUGAUUUUCCAUUGUUCUAGUUUAUUGGAUGAAUAUUUUCAAUUGAAUAAAUGGGUCUGGGCUGGGGGAUGAGACAUGUGUCGUCUCCGUUCCUGUUGGCGUUGGGCAUCCCUGUGUCUUGACUGAUUCACACGGCUUGGGAGGCCUGGUCCCGGAGCUGUUUAUGAGAGCUGCCCGUCAGUGUCUCUUCCUACCUCACUUGCAGUGGCCUCACGCUGGUCGCUAGAAAUUGGCCGUGAAGGAGCAUUUGCAUAUAGAAAUUGGCAGAUCCUGCGACUCAAGUUUCCUCUCCCCACUCCCAGCGCUGAGUGCGGAAUGUUUGCAGCUCCCUAGUGCUGGUGCCUGUCAGUUCUCAGCACCUCAAAUUCUAGGCGACAGGUGACAACUGUUGGACACGGUCACUGUCCGGAAAGCUGAUCUGGGGCUUCACAGACCGAUGCGGAUGAUUGCCCAAAGCUGGCCGUGGCUACUGCCACAGCCCGUGCCACCACUCAGCUGAGAUCGUAGCUGUUCCCAUGUGUGAGUGUGCCUGUGUGUUUUUGUAUGUAGGAGCUUGUGUGUGCCCAUGCUUGAGUGUGCAGUCAUGCAACGACCUGUGCAUCUUUACAUGUACAUGUGUCUCUAAGCAUGUAUAUAUGUGUAUACAUGUCUAUACAUGCAUGUCUCUGUGCAUCUAUCUGUAGGUCUCUGUGCAUUCACAUAUGUUCCUUUGCACAUAUUUGUGCUCCUGCGUACCUGUGGGUAUGCACAUUUGCCUGUGUGUAUCUGUGUGCAGGCACAUAUAUGCAUGGCUAUGCGUAUGUGCACGUGUGUACACCUACAUGUGCAUGGGUGUACACCUGUGCAUGCAUGCAGGUAUGCCCUGCCUGUGGGUAUAGAUGUGUCUGUGAGUGCUGUGUGUGCCCAUGUGUGUGCAUGUAUGUGUGGCCAGAGCCCAACAUGCAGUGAGAGAUGAGGAAUGAUGUUCUCUAGGAUAUGCAGAUCUGGGGUAACUCCCCAGAUCUCUUCCCUUGUCUAUUAUUCCUUCUUUACCACUCAAAUUAAUAUGUAGGAACCUUCAAUAAGGAAAACAUGUCCAGUUGGGUGGCUGGUGGGAGUAAGGAAGGAUGAGACGAAUAUGGACGGUUUGCCUGGAAAUGCCGGAGAGUCUGAGGACUGGCUGUGGUGUCAGAUCCUCUGAGCUUCUGUAGGAUCUUUCACGGGGCCUCUACCUUCUGACCAGUGAAAAUGUAGUCUGACCUCAAGAUCAGUUUGUCUGGCUUGUAGUUUUUGUCUAGCCUCUGCAGCCAUUGCUCGACUCUUAGGGGUGGAGGCCUGAAUCACCAAGCAAAGUUAAAAUGUGGGCUGGAGCCCUGGCUUCCUCUUUGUGCCCUGAGGCUGGCCUCGGCUGGACCUGACACGUGCUCACAGUUUGCCUGCCCUGCUCACUGCUGCACAGGCUUUAUACACAAUGGCCCCUGUAAACCUCACAGGGACCUACCAAGCCAGGCCUCUUGGGAGUCUGAGGUCCCAAGAAGAAAACUAACUUGCCCCAAAUCUCAUGGCCAGCAAGUGGCAGAGACAGAGUGGGAGGCCUCAGUUCCAGGCUCACAGCUAAAUUCUAUUCAAGGACACAAGGGACUUUCCAGUUUACUUGGGAGUUUUUGUCCUCUUCAGCGUGGAUCUCUCUUCAACCAUCAAUGAAUCCAAUUGGGCAGGCAGGAAUCCUACCUCCCAGGAAAAGGCCAGGGUUGGCAUGGAAUGCAUUACAUGUGGGGCCUGCUCGCUCUGGGGCCUUUGACACCAGCCCCAGCUCCUGCCUGAACUUGUGGCACCCAGGAGCCGGUCCCUGGUGCAGACUCAACAGGUUAGCGGUGGAGGACAGUGUCCUUCUGCUGACCCAGGCCCUUGCUCCACUCUAGGGGAAGUAAAGCCACGAGGGUGAGAGGUGUGCCCAGGGUAGGGUGCUGGACUUCAGCUAAGCUGGGCCAGCUCAGGCCUGUCCUGUUCUCCUCCUGCCACCUGAGGGUGCAGACUGUGCUGUGCUGCUGGGUGGAGGUGGGUGCAUGGGGGCCCUUCACAGGGGACAGGAGGUAAUGGCCAUGACCACCGGGAAACACUGCACCAAGAAUCGAGGAACAGGUCAGAAAAGAUCUAAAAAUAUCCUGCGGGCACAUUAGGGCUGCAGAUACCAUGUAGGUGUGAAGGGAUGAGGAGAAGGAAGGCAGGUAACCGCUGGGCCGGGCUCUUUGCACCACCAAGACCUUGACCUCACAGAACAUCAUGGAACUGGAGGAAGAUUGUUUCUUAACCUCUGAGGUGAUGCUGUGUGCAAAGCGGGUGCUCAAAGUGUAUGCUAGUGGCUGAAUAAAUCAGCAGAGUCACGACACCAGCAGUGCCGAGGCCUCGCCUUUUGGGCUGUCUUGGUUGGCUUCUUUGUCCAGAGUGUGCAUCUUGAUCAGACAAGCCCGGAACGUUCUUCCACUGAGCCGCUUGCUGGUUCUAGUGAGACUGUCAUCUCAGUGCAUGUCAGUGAAAGGGAAUGUGCUUGAAUGCUACAAGUUUAUGAAUUUCAUAGAGUUUGACUUUUAACAGGUGCCUAGGGCUAACUCCACACCUUCCUCCCGGUGAAAGGAGAAGUUCUGAUUUAAUCAUAGAGAAAACCACUCUUCACAGUCAACAAAGGCACUCACAUGAUUAGAUUGACUGAGGGAUGUCCAUUUCUUUCCCACUUAUUUACUGUUGCUAAGGUAUUCGAUCAAGUCUGAUCUUUAGCAUUCCAUCAAAGACCAUUAAAUAUUUUUAAUUAGAUACUUAAAAAUAAAUUUGAAUACUCUAUUUCAAAUUGUGUGUGUUUUGCUGACAGUUGCUUUCAGUUUUGAAUAGGAACAUGUCAAACCUUUAAAUAUCCUAUAGCUCAGAGGCACCUGGCUGGAAAUGAUGAUGUUCCUUUUCUGCACCACAAAGUUUAGGGGAUUUAAAAAAAAAUUCUGUAGAAGAGAUGUUCUUACAAAACACAUGCCAGAUGCACCUGAAAUCUCCUUUAUUUUUUUUCUUUUUUUGUCAGUGUACUAAAAAAUAUAUUGAGCUGGGUGUGGUGGGGCAUGCCUGUAACCUCAGCAGCUUGGGAGGCUGAGGCAGGAGGACUGCAAGUUCAAAGCCAGCCUCAGCACUGGCGAGGUGCUAAGCAACUCAGUGAGACCCUGUCUCUAAAUAAAAUACAAAAGAGGCCUGAGGACAUGGCUUGAGUGCCCCUGAGUUCAGUCUCUGAUACUCCCCUCCCCCAAAAUAUGUUGAAUAGAACUCAACAACAAAUCCCAGCAUAUUCCAUACUUUUAGGGACGGUGGAGACAGAACAUUACACUGUGUGCAGGGCCCUCUUCACAUGGAGGGAGCGGUGGUUAGUGGGGGUUGUCAGUUUAGCUGGAUUAAGGGAUGCCCAGGAUUCAGAGACUUGUGGGUGUGUUGAUAAGGAGGUUUCCAGAGGCGACUGGCACAUGGGACAGCAAACUGAGUGGGACACCCACCCUGAAUGUGGGUGACACCAUCCAAUGAGCUGGGGACCCUGAUGGGAAGAAGGUGGCAGAAGGAGGAGCCCACACAGACACAAGCUCCGUUCUCCCUGAGCCGGCGCUUGGGUUGCUUCUGCAAUCCACCAGAGGACGUGGGACUCCGGCUCCUUGAUUCUUCCAAAGCAGACUGACCAGCGAGUCUUCAGGGAGUUUCUGGACUUCAGACUGGGGCUCCAUCAUCGAUCUCCUUCCUUCUAGGACUGGGCAGCUACUGGUCCCUCUGUCUCUCCAGCCUGUUGUGGAGUAUCUGUCUUGGGGUUUUGAAAGUCACUCUAAUGAAUCCCUUUUUCAUAAACACACACACAUAUGAUUAUAUCACACAUAUGUAUACAUACAUAAACAUACAUAUAAUAUAUAUAAUAUGUGUACAUAUAUAACCUGUUGGUUCUGUUCCAAAGCAUUGUCCAGGAGGUGCUAAUAGCCUUGACCUUGAUGGUCUAUUAUUUUUAGGUGUAAGGGCUGCUAUAUUCUCUUAUGCAAAAUUAUUCCCUUGAUCUCUUAAUCAUCAAAGAAGUCUCAACGGUGCUUUUCUAGAGGUCCUACUCAGUGCAUAUUAACAGGCUGUAGGAGGACCUAUAGUUAUUUCUCACAAUCAGACCAGAGCAGUCUUACAGCUUUCUCUCAGGGCUCAAAAUUCUACACAGGCAAUGGGCAGCCAUUCUCUACCCUUCCCUCUUUCCCUUGGGGACUCGGCAGCUCUGCUUAUCAGAAAGUGGCAUCUGGUUUCCUUGAUCCUGGGUGUGGCCUGACUUGUGACUUGCACUGGCUCUAAGAGCACAGCAGGUGUGCAGUGUAGCAGGCCUGGGCCUGAGCCUGCAGAGACCAGCAGAUGUCUGUCACUCACGCUCCCCCACUUCACCACGGGGCCAGGAUCAGGACAGCCUGUUGCAGGUGAGAGACCAUGUGCACUAGAGCCGAACCGUCCCAGCCCAGGCCAGCGGAGACGGCCCGUCCCCAGCCACCCUGCCAGCGGACUGCAGGCUCCUGAGCCAGGCAAACUGAGAACACGGGGCCUGGCCCAUCAGAGUGCCACCCGCCUAACAACUGACAAACGGGGUGUUGUUAAGGCGCUGGAUUUGGGGCAUUUUGUUAUCAACAAAAUGCUAAUUGAUAUAAUACACAUUUGGUAAAUGUAGCUAAUACUCUGUUGGAUUUUCCAUUCAGCUCACCAAGGAGGCUGGGCUUCUCCAGAGUGUGGCCCUGUCCCUUCCUGUGGGACUGUCCUCUCUAGUCCCUGCUGGGCCCUGCUCUCUGCUUAGCAAGGGCAUCGAUGGCUUCAUAAGCACCGAACAUCAUCUGCUUUCUGCUCUUCAUUACCAAUACAGAAAAACAAACCUAAGGAGAGUCUUCCUAGUGCAAGAAAGAACGGAACAUAGCAAGUUCCCAGGGCCACACCAACCCCACACAGCAGACACAACGCGAGAGGUGACUCCACCCGGGAACCCUGUGUGGCAUGAACGUGAGUCCUCAUCCUCACGGUUGUCCCGGGCAAGCCCUGAAGUGCAGAGCAUAGGGGAGCACAGGCUAAAUGUGUGGAAUGGAGCCGGAUUAGAAGAGGAGACGCUCCUGCUAAUUCUGGACUUGCUUCCAACGCGUGCCAGCUCCCUGCUGUUGAACCUCGGCCCCGCCAGUCUUCCCCUCUGAACGUGUUUCUUCUUCUGUGAAAUAGGAGUAAUCAUGUGCUCUUCUUACCUCAUACAUCAUUGCAAGGAUUAAACUAGAUGGCACGUGUGAAAAUGCUUGUACACUCCGAAGAACCACGUGAGGCAUCGUAAGCGCUGUGAGGAUUGCUACUAUUUUGAGCCCACAGUGGGAGACUGGACCUGGGAGAAAUGGCAGAUGGCCCGGGGUUGUGGGGCAGGAGGCUGACUUGUUUGCUUAUCAGUGGAAAACACACUCUGACUCAUAUCAGAAAAGAAGCCUGGCAAACAUUAAAAAAGAAAAAAUUUGGAGAAAGCCAAUGAGCCCACAGUUGGAAUUUUGGACUGGGGUUUAGAAACAUGAGUACAGGAGGCUGACAACAUUGGAUGGAGUCCAGGAGAAGCAGCAGUCCCUCCAGAACAGAAGGUCCCAUUCGCAAAGUAGUCAGCACGAAACAUGUGGGUCUGGCUCCCAGGACGUUGCGCUUGUUGGCUAAAGUUCUUCUGUAACCAAAUGCACGAGGUUCCCUCCUCAUGAGCUUAAGGCUGAAGCACAACCAGGAGACCAGAGUGAAGGUAGGCUUACGGCUCGCAGAGGGUACUGCCCCUCAGAGGAAGCAAGAGGCUCUUCACUGGGGAGGUCAUACAUAUUCAUGUGUGACAACCCGUCACCACCUGUAGGGCAGGCACAGUCAUGAGCAUGCUCAGUGGAGAUCACUUGUCACACGAUCAAAAAUAAAUGGUGGGUGGAAGCAACGCUGUGUGGAGAGUUUUGUAUUAUAAAGAGCAAACUUUACUCUUGGUCACCUGAAGAGAGUGAGUCAGAGUGACGAGGCGAGUUUGGCUGGUUCCUUGGAAUUCUCUCUGGAAGGCUUUAGUGGAAACACAACACAGCACAAAUCAGAACAGCAUUGAUAAUCAUUUAAAAGGGCAGUAGCUUUCCACCCCACAUGCGCAGAGGACUGUCCCUAAAGCACUUGCCUACCAGCCACCGUGUCCAAGAGGAAGAUGCUUCAGGAAUAUGUGACAUGCUCUGGUGGUAAAGUUCACAGGGCCCUGCACAGGACCCCCCAACUCUACCCCAAGUCUGGGUGAAGAAAAUAGUAAGAAAUACACCAGACAAAGAGGAGCCCAAGAUUUUCAUGUGAGCCAGUAUUUCUAGCAGUUAGGAUGCUUUGGGCUGCAAGUAACAGACAAGAAAACAAAGACCUCAUCAGGGAUGAGGCCAUUCAUUCUUCCCUUAUGAGAAGUCCUGAGGCAGGUAUGUACUAGGAUUGCUAAUUCAUCAGUUUAACAAAAUCAUCUAGGUCCGAAUCCAUUCUGUCUCCCCUUUCUGUGGAGCUGGGUGGGUGAUUUGGUUUAUCCUUUUAGGCUGGCUACUGGCCUACAUAGGUGGCUGCUACAAUUCCAGGCAGACCAUGCAGAUGACAAUAUCUAUAUAGAUGACAAUUCAUCAGUCCCUUUUUAAGAUCAAGGGAUAAUUUCCCUGAUGUUCCACAGUGGAUUUCCUCCCCUUGUAUUUAUGCAUGACUGCAUCUCUUCCUAAGCUGGAUUAGUCAGGAUAUAUCAAUCACAAAGAAUUGGCUCACACAAUUAUGGAGGCUGAGAUGUCCCAAGAUCUGCAGUUCUAAGGCCUGGGAUCUAGGAGAGUUAAUGGUGUGAUUUCUAGUGCAAGUGAUUUCUAGGCAGGGAAGACCACUAUCCCAGCUCAAAAACGUACUCUCUCUUGUUCAACCUGUUGUUCUAGCCAGGCAUCAGCAGAUUGCACGAGGUCCAUCUGCAUUGGGAGGGGCCGUCUGCUUCACUCAAUCUACAGAUUCAGAUGCUAACCUUACCCAGAAACACCCUUGUAGACAUACCCAGAAAUGAUGAUCAAUCAAACAUCUGGACACCCCUUGACCCAUUUAAGUUGAUGCAUAAAAUUAACCAUCACACAAGACUGAUAUCAGUCACAAGUGACUGUCAGACGAAUCAAGAUCCAUGCUGGGACUUGAGAGGGAAGCCAGCCUCUGGAAACACAGGCCUUCCAAUUCCUGAACACAGCUGGGAUUCUGCUGUCAGGUAAAGAGGGGAAGAACUGCUUAUUAUAAUAAGGGUAGCUGCAUCCCUCUGGCCCUUAUGACUCUUAGACGAGGCACCCCAAAUGCAAUACGUAACAGAUGCUAUUAGUGCCAUUGCCGUAGCUGACACUUGUUGGGCAGUUAUGUCUACAUCUGGUACAGAGGUAAUGUCCAGGAAGAUGACACUGCGGAGCUGUCAUCUCAUUCAAUCAUCUCAGCUGCCUGGAGCUCCAAGUCAUCGACUUUUCUUGUUCAGGGAGGAGAGAGGAGAGUUUAGUAACUGAAUGUCUUUGGAAGAGUCCAAGGUGAAUCUUCCUUAUACCAAACUUCUCUGUAUAAAUAACUGUUUGCUAUGCUUCUGUGGAAUUCCUAUUUUUCUUUUCUUUCUAGUUGUUAAUCUCACCUAUCAUCACCAUGAUUUCUACCUGGGUUGGUUUCUUAGAUUGUGUCUUUAGCAUAGGUGCCCAGAACUUCAGGAGUCAAGUGAUGUGAAAAUCAGCCCAGAGGGAAAACCCUUUGAAGUUCCAUGGUUAUUUUUUUAUUUUUUAUUUUUUUGAUUUUUUGAACACAUAGUUCUGCAACAAAGUUGCAAGCAAUACUGAAAUUCUGUGAAACACAAGUUUGCUUUCCACUCUGGACCCUGCCCAGAUCAACUCACCUAUUAAUCCCCUCCUGUUCAUUAAUGAGCUAUUACUAUGCCAAGGUGCAGGCUAGUUUCAGGCUGGCUCUUGGAGUUCUAUGCAGUUGUCUCUGGUUCCUUCCAUCUCACACCUCCAACACCACCAGCGGCUGAGUGCCAACCAGCCGUCUUCACAAAACCUUUGACCUCUUCAUUCCCUGUCCACAGCUGAUAAUCUUGGAUCCACUGUGCCAGCCUCUAUUGGUCUUACUGACUUCAUUGCCUCCUUCUUGGUCUUUCUUCCAUCUUCUGUAAGAAUGUUUCUUGCACAGAUUAUGUUAUGGGCUGAACUGUGUCCUCCCACUGCAUCUUCUUGUUGAAGUUCUACCCAGAACCAUAUAAUGGGACUGUAUUUGGACAUGGAUCUCAUGAAGUUUAAAUGAGGUGUUUAGGGAAGAUUCUAAUCCAAUAUGGCUGGAUCAAAAAGAGAAUAGGACAGACAUUUGCAGAGGGAAGACCUUGUAAAGACACAGAAAGAAGAUAGCCAUCGGCAAGCCAAGGUAAGGCUGCAAAAGAAACUAACCCUACUGACACUCUGAUGUUAAACAUUUUUAGACUCCAGAAUGGGGGAAAACAAAUGUCUAAUGUCUAAAUUUUCCAGUUGGUAUCACUUUGUUAUAGCAGCCCUACCAAACUCAUACUGUCUACCUAUAACAAAGUCACUCAUUGAAAGGACACUUGUUUCUUAACAGAGAGGCCAAUUUCUCACAUCAGGUCUCUCAGGGCCCUGCUGCUCUGACACUAGCCUGCCUUUCUAUCUUCUCUGCCUCUUGUUCAUGCUCCUUGCUCUAGUGCCCCCCAAACAGACUUAAUUCAGCAGACUCGGCUGUGCUUCCCUGCCUUAGUGCCUUUGCACAGGAUCUUCCCUCUACAUAAAACAGUUCUGCAUUUCCAGACACAGUCUCCCAUUCCUAUGUUCUGAAAUCACAUGGAUCCCUCUGACUUUGGUGCCAAUUCCUUUAUAACUCCAUAUGCUCUACCAAAGCCACAAUCAAGCAGAAUCGCUCUUUCACCUCCUCUGAAGCACUUUGUAAAAUUCCACCACAGCCUCGAACCUGCCUAGUGUUCCACUUUGGCAUGGACCAACAGCUUCCUGUUUUCUGUGAUUCUCUAACUAAAUUCUUCAUCCUAUCUGUCUUUUAGCCUAUGUCUAGGAAGGGCUAGAUGCCGUGUAUUUUCACAAGCGUGUGUGGAACUGAAAGGGCAGGCUGGAUUGGAACACAGAAUCCAAAACAGGGCCCCAAAGGAGAAUAAUAUCCAUAGAAAACAGGAACUAGAAACAGGGAUUCACAUGGCAUUAUCUGGUGUGACCUGGAGAAAGAUGGAAAGGCCGGGAGAAGACAGCCUUAGCUGCCUCCCCAGCCCUGCAGCUACAUCGAGAGGAUACCUGUCUAGGGUAGAAUUUUGGCUGAAUAUUCUGGAAUGUUUUCUGAUCCCUGGAGGUAACUCAGCAGGAGUUUCACCUUGGAAAGCUGCCUGGUCAUCAGAAGUUGGUGGGUGUGUGUGGGUGGGGGGGUAUGCUUUCUUUCUUUUUUUUGCUCUAGAGACUGAACCCAAGGUGCAUCUCACUAAGUUGUUGGGGGUGGCCUUGAACCUUGCAAUCCUCCUGCCUCAGCCUCCUGAGUAGAUGGGAUUAUAGGUGUGCAUCACCACACAUAGCUGGAUGGAAAGGUUUCUAAAAUCCUUUUGCUCUGUAAUUUAUUUGUUUUUGAAGUGUCUUAUUAGAGGUAAGCAGGCUUUUGAAUGUGAACCCAUACUUCUAGAAACCAUCUGCUAUCCAGAAAUCGUUAAUAAAUUCUAAGUGUGGUUUUGCUCAGAUCUGCUGCAAGGUGAUCAAAGCAAAGUGGCUUAUAUAAUAUCUCCUUCCCCAUUUGCUCCUUUGGCUGUCACACGGGUGAGGAACCCAAUUAAAGAUAAAACAUAAGAAAAACAAGAAGCACAAAAAUGCUACUUCUCUCCCAAACUCUUGCAAAAUCAGGGAAAAAAAGAAAAAAAAAAACUUUCUUCUCAUUUCUGCAAAAGAAAAAUGAGAUCGGAAACUCUGAGCCAUGUGGAAUCCAGCAGGGCCGAUUUUUUCCCCUAGUGAGCCUUAAGGCAGCAAGAAUUUGUCCCUUGCUUUUCUUUCUCUUUCUGUCUUCCCUCAUCUGUCCCUGAGUGAGGCUUGCUGUUGGGGACUGAGCAGGUUCUCUCAGGCUCCCUGAGCUCCCCAACGCACAGCAUAUUAGAAUGCAGGAGAAGUUGUGCGGGAAGGGAAAGGGGCCACGCAGCGGCAUCGACAUUCACUGGGGACAAGGAGGCUGGCGUCCUCGGGCUGCUACAUUCUGCGGCUCAGUGGAGAGGAGCAUUUGGCGUCGUUUCCCCGGGGUCUGCCUGACAGUGUGUCCAGUUCUCUGGUUCCUUUUGGGGGCUGCCCUGGUGUCUGUUGUCAAGGCCGUGAGUUUUCUGGAGAGUUGGAGGCACCAGGACAGGGUGGAGUCAGGAUCUGCAGUCGCACAGGGUUGGGGCAAGGGCCUCCCGGCUGCGAAGGGCCCUGGGUCCCAAAAGGUCUUUUAUGGAUGCCCAGUGACUUCAGUUGGGUUCCCCAGAUGAAGCAUGGGACAGGCCGCCUGUGCCAGGGAUUGAAGAAGCCAUUGUUCUGAGAAGGGAGGGGGCUGAGGAGAGGUAGUGUUGGGGGUGGGGCUAAGUGGAGGGGGACUCUCUGGGUCUGCCCCCGCUGGGUCCCAAAGGAGUGCCACAAGGUGGACCGUACCACACCCAUGGUCCCCUCUUGUAUCUCCAUGUUUGGUCAUUUGUCACUGGCCACGGAGGUACCGAGGUGGGUCUUCCCACCAGGACAAGAGGAACGGUCCCCAGAGUGAAGGAGAAGCUGCAUUCAUCUACUCGAGGGCUGUCAGCACAAAGCUCCUCCAGGAUGCUUGGGACCAGCUGUGUGGAGGGUUUUGGAUAUUUUUGAAAAUUUUGAAAGACUAGUAUGUAUGUCAUAAGAAAUCUGGAGAUGGGAUUCGAGACCAAACACAAAACGCAUUUAUGUUUUUAUAUAUGCCUUCUAUGCAGGGCCUGAAGGCAAUUUGAUACAAAAAAUCCUAGGUGUCUGCAUUUUAACUGAAAGCCAUAGGUGAGGUCAGUUGCAUUGUUAUAUUGGUGCUGAAAAUGUUUCAGAUUCUGGAGCAUUUUGGACUUUGGAUUAGGGACAGUCAACCUGUACCCGGCAUUGGAUGCUUCAGCAACUGACUGUGUCCCCUCACCAUCUGGAGGCUGGGAGUCGGAAGUCCAGUCCUGAUGGGGAUGGUUUCUUCUGGGGCUGCCCUCUUCAGCUUGCAGAUGACCUUCCCGCUGCAGGUUCUCACUACAUCCUCCCUCUAUAACGUGUGUGUCCAAAUUUCCCUCUUUAUUGGAACACCAAGUACAUCGGGUUGAGGUGGACUUCAAAGACCUCACUUUAACUCAUUUGUCACUGUAAAGGCCCUACCUCCCAAUAAGGUCCCAUCCUGAAACACCAGGGUUAGAACUCCAACACAUGAAGGUUGUGGGCAGGGGGACAGUGACACCAGCCACUGGGGGAUGGACGUGCCCACCAGGUGGUUCAGAGGACCGGGCAGACCUGCUCCAUGCAGACCUUGCAGAUCAAGCGCCAGUGCUGGGUGCGCUUCACGGUUCGCACUGGUUUCCCCGGGCAACAUCUUGUCACAUACGGCCGCCUCUCGGGUGGACAGUUCUAGAAAGCCCUUGUGGCCAUCAGCACUCACCUCUUAGCACAGAUUAGUUUCAGAAAAUCACUUUUUCUUCACAAAGACGUAGCAUGACCAAGAAGCAGAGUGGAAAGACUGGGUGAAGGUAAAGUGAGAGCAAAGGGGAAGGUUUUCUGACUUGCCGAGUUUGCCUCUGGCCAGCCGGGCAGAAAAGAGGCCCAGGGCAGGCCAAUGGAGGCUCUGGUAGGAGGGGAACAAAAAGCUGCAGGGCACCAAGAAGCAACUGUCUUUGUGGAAACAAACCAGUGGAAGAUGUAGGAUCAGCCUUAGAAAGGGGGUGGCGAGGGGCCAGGUCCCGGCAGUCGGGUCAUAAAGCUUGGGUUUGCUCAUUCUCAUGGGACAGGCGGCUGGAGUUAAAGCAGCCUCCUCUUUUCUUCCUGUUGCUGUACAAGGGUCAGGGGUGAGGGGAAGCUCCUUGCUUUUCCCUUAAGAACAAAGAGUAGGACCAUUUUUUUCCUGAUGGAUGACCUUUCAGUUAUGGGGCUGGGUGUGGGGUCUUACUGGGUGGACACAUAUUUUGGAGGCAUCUUUGUUGUGAGAGGAGGCUGCAUCGGACAGGAAACUUGGGCUCAGGUGCUGGAAAGGAAAGCUAGAGAUGGGACUGGAAUAAUGCAGCACAGAGGGUUUUGUGCCUUCAAAACCUGCUUGGAGCAAUUUCAGUUAUUUACUAGGCAUUUAAAAUAAGGGGUGUGCUGGACUGAGGCUAUAGCUCAGUGACAGAUCACUUCCUAGCCUGUGUGAGGUCCUGAGUUCAAUCCAAUAGUACAAAACAUAUAUAUAUAUAUAUAUAUAUAUAUAUAUAUAUAUAUAUAUAUAUAUAUAUAUAUAUAGAGAGAGAGAGAGAGAGAGAGAGAGAGAGAGAGAGGGGAUAGGUGAAAUGAGGUGUCUAUAUCAUAUCAUGCACACACCAGACAGCAAUGCUGGUGCUCAUUCCCCGUCACCUCACCUGUGUCACGUGCCUGAGUUUCUUCCCCACGUGCUCAUUGCAAGCACAAAGCAAACAAGCCCCGGGGGUUGCUGGGUGGCGUCCCUCCCUAACGUCAGGCUCCCUCCACCUCUUGGUCUUCACGCACUUGUUUGCUGGAGCAGCUGCGUGUUUAUCCUCCAGAGCCGGGUUUUGCAGGUUUCACCCCGUUGGGCUUUUAAGCUGCCCAGGCAUCCAGUGUGCUUUCUGUGAAGGGGUAGGUGGAUGGACGGAGAGGGCUGAUCAGAUUCUGAUUUGGGGUAUAAGACACGGUUGCAUGAUACGUGCCGGGUGAACUUCCUUUCUGCAAGGUCACAAAGGUUGCUCUUCUGAUUGGAUAGCAAGAAUGAGCUAGGUCCGCCAGCCCUCUGGUAAGGGUGCUAACCCUACUCUUACCUCAUCACCUCACCCCUGCUUAAAGACCUCACCCUUCUAUGGCCGACUUGGACCUCAGGUUCUACCAUACAAAUUUGAGGAAGAUAAAUAUACGCAAACCAUAGCAUUUGCUGAUUUUAAUAGCAAUGAGUUGGUUACCAAACAUUCUCCAAGGUAAUCCAAAGUAUUUUUGUUAUGCACUUAGGGAUUUAACCAUAUGUAACAUGUUUGGUAUCUCCAACCUGGCUGACCCCUGAAAAAUUUUAAAACAUUUUUUAUUGAGAUAUGUAGUUCAUAUGCAGUACAGUUCAUUCAUUUAAAGGAUACAAUUCAAUGGUUUUUAGUGUAUUAAGAAUUGUGCAACCAUCACCACAAUCAACUUUUGUCAUCCCCCAAAGAAACUCUGUGCCCAUUAGCACUCAUUCCCUGUCUCUCUCUAACUACGUUCUCUUCCCUAGAGCCCUAGGCGCCCUAUAGCUAGAAAACCACUAAUCUACCUUUAGCCCAGUUCAUUUGCUCAUUUUAGAAAUUUACAUAAAUGGAAUAACAUAAGAGGGCAUCUUUUAUAGCUGGCCACUUUCACUUAGAAAAACAUUUUGAAAGUAAUCUACAUUGCAACAUGAACCAGUGUUUCAUUUUUUAAAAAUUGCGGAGUGACAUCCAUUCUGUGGGUGUUUUCUAUGGACCAUCACUUUCAUUUACCGUCCCCCUGGUCAUGGGCACAUCUUGCCUCAGUGUCUCUUGAUUGGGUGCCUGGCCAGCUUGACAGCAUUCUUGCUUUCUGAUGUGAUAAAACGUUCCAGAAUCUCCCGGCACAUGUCUGCUCCAGGCCUGGAAGAGCCUAUUCUCCAAGGUGAACCUGUUCCCUUGAGUGGGAAAUGGACUGUUAAGAUUAAAGUCUGGGUGCUGGGAAGCCCUUAGCUGCUGGGAUAUCCACCGAUGACAGGACUUGCAGCGGAUACAGCCAAAAAUAUCUUUUCUUUGUUUACUUGAUUGUUUUUUUGCUAUUUAUAAUAAACUAUGUGGAAUUCAUCCUGGAACUUCUAGUUAAAAUGUAGGGCCAUGGUGUUCUUACUUAGCCUCAUCAACCUUACCUUUUUUUGUUGCUGUUGUGGUGCUAGAGAUCAAACCCAUGGUUUUUAUUUUUGCACUCUAAGAUUGCAGGUUCACAGUGAACCAACAUAACCACUCAUUUUUGCAUUAUCUCAUCACACACACACACACACACACACACACGUUUCAAUUCACAAUGCCAACACUUGCAGGAGCAAUAUUUUGACUGAAAACAGUUUAUGAUUUGCUAGCGGGUGCUUUUUCCUCACAGAAGUGCUGCUGGGAUAUUGGUUUGCAAUGCAUUUUAACAGCAUGUGCAACAGCUCCUCUGGGUGAUUAUGCUCUCAACCGGACACUAUCUAAUUUCAUUUGGUUCACUUUACUUUUUAUUUUUAAGGAUUUUUAAGCUGUUUUUAUUAUGUAUUAAAGUUAAAUCUGCAAAAUAAGAUUUGUCCAAAGAAGCUUAGCUUCUCUUCCUAUCCCUUCUAUUGUAUUCCCUUAUCUUUCUGUAGACAACCACUUACAGACAUUUAUCUUCCCAGGACUUUUUAAAAAUUUUAAGGAAAUUCUCUCUACAUUCACACCCCCUCCUUUCCUAAUCUAUUAUAGUUGUUGUUUUUCAUUUUUCUUUUUUCACUUGACCAUAAAUAUCAGAGAUUUAUGGAAAACUUUCUCAUUCUUUUUGACAGCUGCAUAACCCUAGUACUGGGUAGUACUGUAGCACAGUUAAUUCACUAGGCACUCCACAGAUGGACAAUCUGGUUGUCCUAAGUCUUGUGCAUCUCACAAUUGGAGAUGCAAUGAAUUGAAUUUACAUUUUGAAAUUUACAUUUUCAAAAUUUUGCCAGUAUAUUACUGAGUUAGGUCCCAGAAGUGGGCUAGCUAGACUGGAAAGCCUUAUAUUGUCAAAUCUGGAUUUUUUCCCAAUGCAUUAAUUCAUUUAGGGUUGCAAAAUGGUGAUACUUAAAUCCCAACACUCUUAUUCAUUGAUUAGAAUAGUUCUAUGAAGAGAGAUUCCCUUUUACCACCUCUCAGCCCAAAUACCUGCUGGUUCACAACAAUGAAGGUUCUCAGGCACACUCCAGAGGUGACAAUGAAGGUUUUUGUCUGUAUGAAUCAUAAGCAUAUAAGUUUAGCCAUAUUUGGUGUAUUUCAAUACAUUGGUAUAUCUUAUCAUAAUUUUAAUUUGCAUUCCUCUUAUGAGACAGGUAAAAGAAGUUGAAUAUCUUCCCAUGUGUCGAAGAGUCAGUUGCAUUGAUUAUUUGUUUUUUCCACAAAGUAAGUGUUCAUAUUUCUAGAUUUUUUUUCAGCCAAGAUGGUUUUUUUUUUGUCUUUUAUCAAAACCUUUUAAUGAGUUAAGUCUAUUGAUGGAUAUAUGUACUUUUCUCUUAGUAUAUCAUCUGCCUUUUUACUUACGCUUUUUUUCCAUAAUUUUUUUAGUAAUAAAAUUAAUCAAUCUUAUUGUUCUAGACACUAAACCAUAUUUACAAAGGUUUUCUUGUUCUCAGGUUAACAAUGAAUUGCCCAGUAUUUUUUCUAGGACCAAAUGGUUUUCUUUUGGUUUUCCAUUUAAAUAUGCAACAAUAGAAACUUAUCCUAGCAUACAGCAUCAGUAGAUUCCACUUUCUUUCCCACGGGGCUGUACAGCUAUGCAAAGCUGUACAGCUUUGCUCUACUGACUUAAGAUGUGCUCUUUCUUGUAUACUAAAUUUUCAUAGUCAUGUGAGUCUGUCUCUGGAUUUUCUCUUCUGCAUCCAGUCUAUCUGAGCACCAGCAUGAAGCUUCUUAAAGGAUAGACCCAUCACAGUGUGUUCUGACAUCCCAGAGGUCUGGCGCCUCCCUCUCCCCCACAGCGCUUCUUUCUUAGGGUGUUAGUUAUACUUGCUUGUUUUUUAUUCUAAAUGAACUCUUUCAUCAGUCUGUCUGCCCUCAAACAAAAGCCUGGGAAUUUAAGAAAAUUUAGAUUGCAUUAAAUUUAUUUAUUAACUUGACAAAUCCAAUAACUUGUGUUUCCAAUAACUUUUUUUUUUUUAAUUUUUUUUUAUUGGUUGUUCAAAACAUUAUAAAGCUCUUCACAUAUCAUAUUUCAUACAUUAGAUUCAAGUUGGUUAUGAACUCCCAAUUUUACCCCAAAUACAGAUUGCAGAAUCACAUCGGUUACACAUCCACAUUUUUACAUAAUGCCCUAUUAGUAACUGUUGUAUUCUAACUUUUUUAAUGCAGAGUCCCUUCAAAGAACACAGGUUGGCUUGGCACCUGUGUUCUAGUCUGCUUUUGUACCUUCCAUGAGUGUUUUGUGGUUUUAUGGAGGAUUAAUAAUUAAUAAAUGAAGUGUUUUAUGGUUUUUUUCACUUGGGGUUUGGACCCUCUUUUGUAAGAUCCACACCUAAGUUUUUCUUCCUUUCCUUUCCCCCCAAAGGUGUAUACAGAGGUUUGUUUAUGAAAGUAGGUACAUAUUCAAAGGGUCAUAGGGGACUCUCAAGAGAGAGACUGUGGGGUAAAGCAAGGAAUGCAUAUUCAAGGGAGAAUGCUGGCCAGGUUUUUAUGAUGUGCACUUAUUUUUCUCUGAUAAUUUUAAACUUGCUUCCUCACUAAAUUCUCUUAGGGCCAUAGUGUCUUUCCUUUUGAUUCUUUUGAAUUUUCCACAUAUGUAAUCGAAAAGUGAAAAAAAGUGUUUUAUAUUAGCAACUUGAAGAAAUGUUUGAAAUCUGAAUCUCUGAGACAGUGUGCCUCUUGGGGCUGGGAUUGUGGCACAGUGGUAGAGCGCUCGCCUAGCAUGGGUGGGACCUGGGUUUGAUCCUCAGCACCACAUAAAAAUAAAAGCAUUGUGUUGUGUCCAUCUGUACCUAAAGAAUAAAUAUUAAAAGAAAGAAAGUGUGCCUCUUAGGAACCAUGUGAAUGCAGUCGAUGCAAUUGCCAAAACUGUGGGAAGCAUAUGAGGAAAAAUAUCGGCAUGGAGAGCAAACAGAGCUUUUUAAGAUUUGUUGUUUUAUUGGUGAAUUACCGUCACAUAAUAGCAGCAUUCAUGGCCGUAUUUGUACUUGCACCUGACGUGAUUCCAUCAGCCACGUUCCCCAGCCUCUUUCCUCCCUUCUGCCAAUGUGCCUGCUCUACUCUAUGGAUCUCCCUUCUAUUAUUAUCAUCAUUAGUUUAAUUGGUGCAUUAUAAUAUUUACAAGAGUGGGAUUCGUUGUGGUUUAAUCAGACGAUGACAGCUUUUUAAAGUGUUCAUCUUGCAAUCUCCAACUCAUAAGGCUAGAGAAACGUCACAAAACGAUGUCACUGUUUUCUUGGUCCCUCAGACAGCCCUUUCCUCCUGUCUCCUUUACUCUGUUUUCUUAGGAGAGUUACUGCAGCAUGCAGGGUCUGCUUUCCUCGCGGAUUCUCUAUCUUUCCACCAUUUAGGGCUCAUUUCAGCUCCUCUUUACUCUUCAGCUUGUGUCUCCUGUUUCUGCUUCUCUUAUUUUUGCCAUGUUUUUGUUUAUGUUUCCAUUGGAAAGAACAUUGGACUAUAAUCAGGACUAAAUAAAAAACAUCCACUGCAGGACAGGUCUUAAAAAUAUGUGCAAAUAUUUCCAGACAUGUCUUUUUAUUUUACUUCUGGGGGAACAAAAGAGUGUUUUUGUUUUGUUUUGUUUUGGUGCAAAGGACCUAGCACAUAGCACAGCUUUUCCUGAACAUCAUAGGUAAUAAGAAUGAUGGUGAAGAUCUCCAUCCCAUGGGCAGCUCCUCAGCGCCAGGUACACUGCCAGACACGGAGCUAGAAACUUGUCCACUCCAGGGACUGCUCACCCUGCUGGGCGUAAAAGGAAACCUCGGCCCUCGCUGAACUUACCUUCUAGGAGGAGGACAGAAAAUCAUGAAAUGAAUCCACAGACUGAAGAGGAUCUUCUGCAGUUCUGCCUAUUCUAGAAAGUGGAGGUUUGGGCAGUGCAAGGCUGGGGAUGGGAGAAUGUAGGACGAGGACACAGAGGUUGGAGGUGAGCUGGAAAGGGGUGUGGCAGGUGGCAGGUUCUCAUGCACUGGAGUCCUGGGGAAGGGGCUCCUGAGGACGAGUGUCUGGGAAUAUUCACAAGAGACAUUCCUCAGCCUGGCCCGAAGCCAUCUUCUCUGUCUACUGGGAAACUUCUCCCCACAGAAGUUAACUUCCUCACACUCCAGAUCAUGCUUUCUGGUGGCCUAUCAGAAAGCCAGACCCCACUUUGUUGAGGAGAUGACAGGGCAGGAGUGACGCAUUGACCAAGGGGAAAAAAGGAGGUAGUGGUGACCAAGGGAAGGACAGUUUAUAAGAGGGUGAGUCUCGUCACAUGAACUCAGAGAGGUAAAGGGGGGGGGUGGUGGAGGGCUUCCAAGUUCCUAGGAAGACAGUGGCUUUGACUUGGUAGGUGGCGGGGAACUACUGGGGGAGGGCCUGGAGCAGAGCGCUGACCCAUCUGACUUGUGUUUUCACAGGGCACAAAAGCCCUGCAUAGGCAGUGAUUCAUCCUUGAGGACAUGAAAAAUUUCCUGGUAGUCACAUAGAGAAGGUGGUGGAGCUAGGAUGUGAACCCAGGUAUGAGGCUGAGGUCCCCGCUGUACCUAUGAGGAGCAUUUCCUGCCUGAUCUACUAGUUGCAUAUGUUUUUAUUCUUUAUGUCUUUUUUGCACCUCCUUUUCAGGUCUGUGCAUUUCUGGUUGGCAGAGAAUGAAGCUGUGCUCAGUCUGUAUUUUUUCCCUCAUGCCCCAAAUACGUAUUCAUUUCUGCCAUGUGCAUGACACCAUAAAUUGCACCACGAAUGAUAAGAGAGGUGGACAGCGAGGGACUUUCUCUCAAGAUAUUUAUAGGCUAGCUAUGAAGGGAAGACAGGAUUUGUCUUUAAAUUGUUUAAAUCCAAUGAUUUCCACUUUUGGCCGGGGACAGGGGGUUCUUGCUUGUUUCAUUUAAUUAUCUGAAAGAAAAUCGCUAUUUCUUUUUCAAGAACAGCCCUAUCCAAGAACCAGAAGCAGAUAAAAUAUGGGAUUCCCUCUUUGAUUUUAUAGAUUUUGACUUCCAGCUUGACUGUUCCGUUAGCACAGUAAAAGAUGACUCCCGGCUCCCCACCCCCAAGCCUUGCAAGCCCAACCUGUGAUCAGGAAAUCCAGCUGCUCGCAUUCUAUGUCUCGCCUCAUUGCCAGGAAUAAAGAUCCGGCAAUCCCUGCUUAACUGACAGUGCUGCCAGUGACACCUGAGUCCCAGCAGAAACCAGCUCAGCAGUUCUGCAGCAGCUGAGCUGUGCUUCUGGGCAGCGGGUAAGUGUUCAGCACCAGAAGCUGCUCCUCUCUCCUUGAUGAGGAGACAUGACAGCUGAGUGGGGGGUUCUGGGUCAGGAGACACUGCUGUCUCCCUUCCACUGCUCUUUCAGUUAUUAUGAGGACUUAAACCCAAGAUCUGUGCCCUUGGAGCCCCUGCAGGAGGCCAGGAAAGUAUCACAUUUUAGGGGAACCAGCUCCAGAUGUGGAUCACAGGUUUGAGGUCUACCCUGGUCACCAUCUGUCUGUGGGGUGUGCGUACUCCAAGAAACGAUUCGUGGAGUCCUCCCAUUUUGUGUACCCCACACAUUUGGGUUUUGCAGAGUCCAUAGGGGAAGCCAACAGGAUCAUAUGUGGCCUUUGCAACUCCUAAAAUUCCUGUUUGAAAGCCCAUCUGUGUUCACCUGAGUUUGCCUCUGUGGCCAUGUGACUGUGCAGUCCCUCUGGCUCUAUAGAUCAGAAUAAACCCUCUGUAUUAGUCAGCUUUUUGUUGCUGUGACCAAAAGCCCUGACAAGAACAACUUCGAGGAGGAAAAGUUUAUUUUGGCCCACAAUUUCAGAGGUUCAGUCCAUGGUUGGUCAACUCUAUUGCUGUAGGUCUGAGAUGAGCAGAUCAUCAAAGCAGGAGGACACUCUAUGAGAAAUCAGUCACCUAUGGCAGCCAGGAAGUCGAGCGUGUGGGUGGAGCCAGGAGCAGAGCCUAAUCCCCAGUUACGCCCCCAGCGACCUACUAGCAUGCCCACCUGCCAACAGUUUCCACCCAGUAAUCUGUUCAGAUUAUCAAUCCAUCAAGUACAUGAAUCCACUGAUUGGGUUCCAGCUCUCACAAUCUAAUCGCUUCAUUCUGAACAUUGCUUCGCUGUCUAACACCUGAGCUCUUUGGGGGUUACCUCAUUUCCAAACCACAGCACCCACUCAUGGUCCUUCCUGAAGUAUAUGAUGACCUUCACUUAGCCAGGUUGUUCUCCAAGUUCUUCCCCUCCAGCCAGUGGAACUCUGUGCAGAUUUCUGACAUCGGUUCUUCACAUUCUGCAGUUCUGGAGCUGCCACCCUUUGCUCACCACAACUGCUUCUCACCUGGCUAUGUGUGCAAGUCAUUCGUUCACUCAGUCCUCCAGUUAAUACAUAAGUGUCAAGAACUGAUUGCUGCCAGGUGUUGUGACACCUAGCACCCAUCCUGCCCCUUGGGAGGCUGAUGGCUCAGGGCAGUCUGUCUUUAUGCCUGUUGCUUUCCUAUUUGAAUAUCUUUGUUGUAAUAAUUUUACAAAAGAGUAAACCUUUCAUGGUACUAUGGGCUCUUUACUGAUCAAUUUUCUAUAUCAUAAAAAUCUCCAAGAUUCAGUAUUAGAAGUCAUUAUAACUAGGAAGUCCUGACUUAUUUAUCUGUAAAAAUCGACUUAGUAAUGGUGAGAUCCCCUCUCCCAGUACCAAAAAUGAUAGAAAUGAGACUACUUUUAGUUUCUUUCUUCCUCCUCUUCCUCUUUCCUUCCUUCUUCUUUUUCAUUUUUGAUUAAGUUGUUUGAACAAGUUCCUCUGGGCUACAAAAACAGAAGCAAUAGUGGUAUCAGUUUCUGAAAUAAGGCUUUAGAUAUAACUGCUACAUUGUCUAGGUGAAAGUUUCUACUGAGAACAAAAUGCACUUGAAAUUUGCAAAAGUUAGCCUGUGAAUAGUUUUGUGUUGAUUUUGAAAAACUUACAAUUCAUUUUUUAAAUGUUAAGUUGAAUUUAUAUAUGUACUACCAAAUAGUAUGCAAGUAUAAGAAUCUAGUUAUUUUCAAUUCUCAAUAUCAAUUCAUUUUAUUUGUUAUUCAAAUGUAUUUCUGUCAAUUAAAGUUUAAUUAAAUAUUUUUGUGUGUGAGCAAAGUAAAUACCAAAUGAAGGAGAUGGGUGGAUCAUGGGAGUAGAAAGGUAGCAAGAUUUGGGAUGAAGUUCUUAACAGGGAGUCUACCCUGUAGCGUUUCUUCCCAUGAGAACAGCCCCACUUCUAUCCAUAAUCAUUAUAUUUCAGAUUUCUUAUCUUGUGUGUGUGUGUGUGUGUGCGUGUGUGCGUGCAUGUGUGAGAUCACGCAGAGCAGAACCAAUGCAGACAGCUUCACCUCCUACCAUCUUGGAAAUCAGCAGACAUCUUAGAGUUGACAGGGUAUGUUCUGUAUUUGAUAAAAUAUGGUUAGUGGUCUGGAUUGCAGGAGUCUUCUAUCCAUAUAUGGUCAUGCAUGUAGUAUGUACUUAUGUCCUCUGUCUUAGUGAAUUGAAUUUAUCUGCUAAAAUGUUUUCCAGUGCCUUUAAAUCUAAAGGUCUUGGAGAAACUAUAUUUGGGCUCUCAGAGCAUUCCCAGGUGUGAUGACUCCUGCGAAGCCAACUGAUUUCUAGGACUACCCAACAGUGACGAAAUACCUUAGAUUCCACUAAAUCCAAGGAUGGGAGAAUGACACCUCAGGGUCUUCAGGUUGUCUUCCAAAGCAUCUUUUGAGUGCCUACCAUGUGCACUAAGGAUACGGUGGUGAGAAAGGCAGGUGAAAAUCUCUGCUCCGGUGCACUGAGGUUCUAGAAUGCUGGCAUGGGUGUCCACUCCUUGAUGCAGCAUCAACCUUCAGUAGGUGUGCCAAGAUGUUGUUUCCUUUCUUUCCUGGUCAAGAUCACAACCUUGAAAUGACGGGGAGGCCCAGCGUCUACGCAUUUACUCUUCAGCCGGCUCUUCUGUCCCUUGAUGUUGUUUUCUUGCUGCAAAACUUUUGCCGUGAUGCACUGGAAAAAGACAUGUGGUUGUUCCUAUCAGGAGCCUGGCUGGAAGAGCCGCAGCAGAUGUCUGUACACAUUAGAGUCUAAGAAAGUGUUCCCAAUCCUUUAAGAAAACCAUUACUUGGCUCACUGCAAGCUAAUUGCAUUUGUUCAGCCAAGGUGAAAAUGGAUGCAGAUGGGAUGAGCUAAGAAAUAUCCUACUGUUAAAUCACAAAAUAAAGCCACUUGUUCAGGAGACUCUAUGGCCCGGGAUACAGUUUUUACCAAGAAGUGGGAAAUUGCUUGGUAAAUUUCUCUUUUCUGCUUAACUAACUCCUUUAAUUAAUUUUUACUGACCUACUCCUCCUUCAACAUGAAAGGUGUGAAUAGAUAAAGAAUUGGUCUUGCAGACCUUCCUUCUAAAGUCAAAAAGUGAAGAGGGAGAUGGAUCCGUUCUCUUUCAAUUUGGGAUAGAACUUAUCAAGUUAAGAUCUGCAACUUGAUAAUUAGCCACAAUGGUACAAUGUUAUCUCAUUAUUUCUACUUUGGCAUGAUAAGAGCUUAUGUUUUAGAUAAAAUGCCAAGAUGGGAUUAAUGACUAAAGCAAGGAGAAUCAAAUUUUAAUGAGAAAAGUACACAACAUCAAGAUAAAACUUUGUGUGAUGUCUCUACUUAAAGGAGGCAGGCUAAAGCUCUAGCAUCAUUCUUCUAUCUUGAAGAGCCACCCUAUCUACUAGUUUGAUCAGAUGGCACCAUAUUGUCAUCUUUUCAUUAGUAAACAUAAGGUGUAGUGUCAUUUAGAAACUUGUUUCCAUGUGGUAGAAAUUACAAUUGGUUCUAGAGGUGUUGUGUUUUUUUUUUUUUUUUUUUUUUGUGUGUGUGUGCAAGAUGUUAAUGCUGAUCACCAGGGAGGCCAGCGGUCCAGAACACUGUGGGUCACUAAUCUUAUCAUCCCUGAAAUUUAUCAGUGACCUGGAGAAAAAUUCCUAUUGAAUGUCCAAAUUGUUGUCUUAUAUUGUCCAACAGAUGGAUAGUACAGAGAGAUAGAUACACAAGAUUAUCAAUCAGUGAUCAGAUACUUAGUAUAAUGAAGAAUUUAUUUUACUAGUAAUACUGUAAUCUAUCAUUUUAAAUUGGCCUUGAUGUUAAUCUAGCUUUCAUUUAAGCAAAGAAUACUUAUCAGCCUGCAGGACCCUUCUCCCAGUUAAUUAGGAAGGACACAGGUAAUAAGGUAAUCCUAAUCACGUUUAAAUAUUCUUUGAGCAGAGUUCAAACAUGCAGCAAGCAGGGAACACCCAGAGUCAGACUCCUGGGAUGACAGCCACAAGUCUGGCCUUCCAGUUGGCUGGUCAACCAGAGUGAAGUCUACAACACAGGUCAGGGCCUUUGUGAGGGAAAGGAACCGUCCCUCAUUUUCAGCAUCCUGUAGGGCCUCUGACAAGAGGACAACUGAGAGUUUGAUAACUCCUAAGACUGCCUGUGGGAUAGGUUUCAUGAACUGUGUGUUCCAUCUCCAAUGGGGUGGCCUCCAGUUCCACAGGACAGGAAGGCAGGUGACAGCUUCACAUGUCAGGUCAGGGACAAAUGGGUACCCAUCUUCCUUAUGUCACCAGGCAGGGCCUCCCUUUAUGAGAAAGGCCCUCCUGAUUUUGGCAGCUCAUGGGAACAUUGAGGCUGAGGGUGACCAACCACCCAAAAUGCUGCUUAGGACUCCAAAUGGGGAUGUUCUGGAUAUACUGGAAAGAGCUUCUCACCUCGUCAGAAGGAAAUCUAUACUUUGCAUAGCUAUCAUCCAUCUACCUUCCUACUUCCCUAUCUAUCAGUAUAUGUAUAUGUAUGUAUGUUUACACAUAUGUGUACAUAUGCAUGUGUAUACAUACAGACAGAUAUGCUUCAUAGGGCUGUCUGUGAAAUGUUUGUUGCCUUGUUAGUUUUAGCCUUAGGGAUUAUUCCAUUGUAAAAAGAGAAAAGAAUUGUAAAAAUACUUUGGCUAACAGUCUCUUCAAAAUUCUCACAUGUAUAAAAGCCUAUUCUCUGCAUUGUAAUUUGAAACUGAUGAUGGUGUUGCUGUUGACCAAAUCUGACACAUAGCACAGGAGUGUCUGAAGUGAAUUGGAGACAUUAUCAUCAUUUAUGCUUUUCAGAAUUUUAACGAUUCAGUAAAGGGUGGAGACAGACUCUCUAAAUCGCAGCACAUCUAAAAAUUCCCCUUCUUCCUGGGUAGCAAGGCCCAUCUGUUUUUAAACAGCGAGGGAGCUGCUGACACUUUAUUAAGCUGUUGUUUUACUUAAAUUGCAGUUGUCCAAAGUGACGCUUCCCCUCCACGCCUGCUUUCCAAAGUGCAGUAACCAUAACUACUUCUUAUUUGAGAAAUUGUAUGUGGCUACCCUUCCAGUUGGUUAAUACAGGGAGUCAAUAUUUUUGCUUUAUUUUAAAGCAUCACAGCGUGGGGCUGUUUUUCUUGGCUUUUCACAUUUUCUGCCUCUUUUUUACCUUUCUUCCUGAUACAAGAGUAGUUAUGCUAAAAUUUGAUUUCUAGCAAAGGGAAGAAACUCAUAUUUAGAGCAAGUCUUUUUUGCUAUUUAUCCAUUUAUGUUAGUUACAAUCUGCAGCACCUUUGGAAUACUCAUUUUUGCAGGUCUCAAAAUGAUACUGAACAAGGGACUUCCAGACUCAAAGGCUCACCUUCUCAGUGAAGAGGGCUACUCCCCAGAGUUCAGUCUCAUUCUCUGUUUUCUGACACUCUGCUUUUCCUGCAGAUCACUGCACCUUGGCUGGGGCUGUGAACUUGGGCCCUCUUCUGCAAGGAAGCCCUUCCCAUCCCUGUGGAUGAGCCCUUCAUGUGCAUUCAUAGGUGCUGAGCCCCUGGAUCUGAAGGGAACAUCUGCAGGAACAGUCUACAGGAUGCAUCAGAUUCUAGAGCUGGGAUUUCAUUUCACGCUCUUGGUACGUACUCCUGUGUUUCUGAUUUACGAAUCUCUUCAGCUGUCUUUCCGCCAUUGUGAAUAAACAUCAAAGACAUAAGUCAAAUAAAGGUAAGUGAAGUGUCCUUGGAAGAAUCAGAGAAAAUGAACACUCUGAACCCCAUGAGGUUUGGGGUCUCCCUUUCUCUUCUCCUUUGAGCACCAUGAUUCUUCCGCAUACAUCCACUGGUUGAAGUUCACAGUCGCUGAGCUGGAGAUGGCCCCCAACCUGGGUGGUGUCAGAGAGUCUUCAGGUGUGAGGACCAAUGGGAAGGGGAGGAGGAUGUGGGCAGAGUUCCAGAAACCAGGACGUGCGAAAACUCUUGUGCGGAGCCUGAGCCUGCAGAGUCCAUCACCCCUGGUGUGGUGUCCAGGUGUCUGGAAGCCCACUGGCCUGUCUGCAGUGCAGCAGCUAGGCUAAUAUGCACUUCUGUAGGCAAAUAGGAUAUUUUGCAGGUAAUUCUGAUGAACAGUACCUAAGAGUUCUUUGGGCUUCACUAUAAUUAGGAAUAAACAAAGAAUGCCAUCAGUUCCCUUGUGUUCGCUAUUGACUUGAUUUCACUGGUUCUCCGUGUCUCCAGUGGACCAUUUUCCCUGAUCCUUGAGCUACUUAAUUUCCGUGCCUUGCUCACACACACUUCUGCUCCCUUAAACAUGCUCACGGGCUUUAACUCUGUGCCAUAGGAGCUUCUUUCUCCUGAAUCUCCACUGAGCAUGCUCCAGGGGAUUGCUGGUGUAUGGUCAGGACUCCACAUCCCACCUCUCUCUUUGGAAGGAAAGGUGGUUCAGAGAAGGGCAGAGUGGGGAAGGGGAGAAAAGGCAUUACUUCUCCACGUUUCCUCAGCCCCUCAGUACUUCUGAGAUGAUCCCAGCCAGAUCGCCCACAGCACAAGGCUUGGUAGGAGCUGAAAGGUGUUCUUCUGCCUCCUUGCCACACAUCAAGUUCCUACUCUUACUUUUGACUCAAACUCUGCUCAUUCAACCAGUUGAACAUGGACUCAGAGCCCUCCAUGUAACUAUAUUGGAGACAACGGGGCAGCAUAAAGGCUUUCUGCUAAAGCACAGAUGAUGGCAUUAUAUCUCACCCUGUUUUAACAUGAAAACACUAAAGAUGCUUCUGGACAAAAAGGUGGGAAAGGCAAAGCUGGAUUUUUUUUGUUCUUAUUUUUUGAGAUUCCUGCACUGUUUGGAGGGUGUAAAUUUAGACUCUGCACCUAAGCUAUGUCUAAAAGUACUGUUUUGACUUUUCCUUGGAGACUUGAAAAUUAUUUCUUGCCCAGAUCCCCAGGCGAGAGAAACCUCCUGCCACUCCUUGGGUGAGGAGGACGACCUCUCUUCCUGCCCUCUGUGCUCAGGUGGAGUGGUGGGCUCUCGGCUCCUGCACGUUCUGUUUGACGAUGCCUGGGUUGGGAUUCUGCAAACCACACUUCCCCUCUGUCACUAAAAGGGAGGAGGCGCCUCUCUCUUUUAGCUUUUGCUCAUCAGGUUCUCCUAGUGAGGAUGGAAGGGGAGUGACAGAGGACACUCCCACUUCCUGUCUGCUCCAUUCCUGAAGCAUCACUCCAGCCACGGUCUCACUGUGGCUGGCCAUGGUUCUAUUCCCGGCUUAUUUUCCCACCACCAAUAACACCCUAUUGUACCCAGAGACACCAGUACCAGCUGGCAGUACCCCUUCCCGAGACUGGGUCUUGGCUCUGUGGGGACCCUCCUCCAAGUUCUACUGAGCUCACUCUUGGACAGGAACACAUGGAUCUAGAUAAAUAGAUAGCUGGUUGUGGUGGGCAGCUUCAAAGAUGGCCCCUGUUAGCACAGAACAACUGAGCCCCGUGCAAACUUCACAGAUCAGCACAGUCUUUAUUCAGUGGUGGAGUCAUGCAUCUGACGGACUCAAUUUCCUGGUGGAAAAUGAGCCACUGGCUAAAGGGGGAUUCUGUGCGUAUAUAUCCUACACUGAGAGGUGACUUAAUCAUGGACAGAGCGGGUCAGUUUUGGCACUCAGGAAACAGGUUUGUAAGAAUUUAAAAUUUGUUUUUCUUGGGCAAUGUUUUUACUUGGGGAAGAAUGGAGGGUCUGGGGUCAGUGUUCAGUGCUUAACUCUUUCCCUUCAGGGUCCCACUGUACUGUUACUGGUGAAGGAUUUAUUUGGGAAAGGAUCAAUGCUUUGGCUUCCUCCCAGAGACUGCCAUUCUGGGCUGGAUGAAUGUGUCCUCCCCAGGGAUCGUGGUGUCACUGGAUGAUGUUUGCUUCCUUUCCAGGGAUUGUCCUGGCACUGAAAAAGGAUGGACUGGGAAAGGAUCCAUGUUAUCAAUGUGCUCUUCCUCAGCCCCUCUUCCCAGGCGACACCAUUGGGGGCUGGCCAUUUCCCAUACCUGACCGCCCCAGCCUUCUCUCUCUGUUAUUUGCACUCCUGGGUAGCCCCAUCCCUUGAAUGUGAGCUGACGGACAAAUUGAUAGUGGUACAAAUGGUGGGGAGCCGCCUCUGAGACCAGGUCACAGAAGCCCUGGCCUCCGUCUUUCCCUCUCCUGCCUCUUGCUUGUUCUCUCUAGAAAUCCGGCCACCAGGUGGCUAGCUGUUCCCUGGAGAGGCCCAGAGGCUGGGAGAGCAGAGGGGAGCCUCUGGCCCACACGGGCUCUGGGUCAACAGCUUGUGAGGAGCUGAAUCCUGCCAACGGGAGUGGGCUUGGAGGCAGAGCCAUGCCCUGUUGAAACCUUGAGUGGAACCUUAUAGGGAUGCUGAGGCAAAGGCCCAGCUAAGCCCACCAGGAUGAGUGACCCACAGAAACCAUGAACUAAUUAAUAUGUGCUUGUGUUUUUAGGUUGUGAAGAUUUG
This 33390-nucleotide long non-coding RNA is filed under the name Marmota monax (woodchuck). Lineage: Eukaryota; Metazoa; Chordata; Mammalia; Rodentia; Sciuridae. The record is from RNAcentral.